RNAcentral lists this transfer RNA (64 nucleotides) under Gramastacus lacus. RNAcentral's name for it is "tRNA-Ser". Lineage: Eukaryota; Metazoa; Arthropoda; Malacostraca; Decapoda; Parastacidae. The record is from RNAcentral.
UGAUAGCUUAGUUUAUAAAAAUAAAUACUUUGAAAGUAUUAGUUAGAGAAUAACUCUAGUUAUU